CGUUACCUGCGCUGCAUGCAAAGAAAGACAUAAUUGGAUUAUUAAAAAAAAGUUAAUCUCAGUAGCUUAUAUAUAUAUAUACACCGGUCCAGAAUUAUUGCUAAGAACAUGCAUACUUAAUUAGAUAUAUGCUUAAAGAAGAAUGGGUUUGAAAAUUUCAACCAGUUUUCUUCUUCUAUCUUUGUUUCUUCUACAUCUUUGUCUCUUUUCUGAAGUUGGAGGAAUUGAGACAGCUCACCGGAGGAUAGAACCCAUUAGAGAGCUAGCUGUAUCACCAUCUUGUUCGUGCGGAGGAGGCAAACGUCAAGAUCCAUGUCCACGUCCACCUCUACGUCCUUGCUCACCUCCACAUGCACGCUAGAGACCCUAUAAAGGGACGUAAAGAAGAAAGAAAAACAAAUAAGAUAUUAGAAUUCGAUUUAGGUGCUUUCAAUUUAUUUAAAAAUGUUUAUCAUAAACAGUAGUUCUCUUUAAUAAUUAAUACAGAAAAUAAUAAAACUCCAUGAAAUGAAGGUGAGUAAUAGGUUUCCAUCCACAUGAUUGUGUAGUAUUCGACUAGAAGAAGGUUUUUUUUAGUUUCUUUGAAUGUGAAAUUUACUACUCAAAAUUAAA
Camelina sativa (false flax) is the source of this 612-nucleotide long non-coding RNA. RefSeq lists it as uncharacterized. Lineage: Eukaryota; Viridiplantae; Streptophyta; Magnoliopsida; Brassicales; Brassicaceae. The record is from RefSeq and is a predicted model, not a curated record.